This is a non-coding RNA of Salmo salar (Atlantic salmon), 483 nucleotides long. NCBI's taxonomy places the organism in Eukaryota, Metazoa, Chordata, Actinopteri, Salmoniformes, Salmonidae. The record is from RefSeq and is a predicted model, not a curated record.
AUUUGAAAGGACAGCAGGUGCGGGCACUUAACUGAAAAAAUGUAAAGAUUUACUUAAUUUAUUAAGACAAGAUUUGUCCCUUGUACGCUCAUCUAUCUUUUCAUAUCCGUGCAAAUCUUUGUAAAACAGAAAAUGGACACAAUUCAAUGGAUAUCAACAACAAAGAGGUAUACGGACGAGGAGGCAUACAAAGGUAUGUCAAUUGGUAUUGGUAUGUUUUGCAGAUCACAUGUACCAUCCUCCUCCCUUACCUCUUCAAUGAAAAUCCCAUAGUCCUCUACAUUAUGGACAAGGAAACCUGUUCAAUUACUAUGCACUCUAAAAUAAUUCUGGCUAUGGAUACGGAGAACAUCAACACAUUAACAUCAACACGCCAGAGGAUACACCUAUUGGACUUGGGGCUCUGCUGGGAGUGUACCUCAUUUUAGCAUUUUUUUUAUUCUGCUUUGCCACUAAAAUCAUAAUAAACACUAACAACUCAAA